UACGGGAGGCAGCAGUGGGGAAUAUUGCACAAUGGGCGAAAGCCUGAUGCAGCUAUGCCGCGUGUAUGAAGAAGGCCUUAGGGUUGUAAAGUACUUUCAUCGGGGAGGAAAAACAAAACUAAUAAUUUUAUUUCUUGACGUUACCCGAAAAAGAAGCACCGGCUAACUCCGUGCCAGCAGCCGCGGUAAUACGGAGGGUGCUAGCGUUAAUCAGAAUUACUGGGCGUAAAGAGCACGUAGGUGGUUUUUUUAAAGUCAGAUGUGAAAUCCCUGGGCUUAACCUGGAACUGCAUUUUGUAAACUGAAAUACUAGAGUAUCGUAGAGGGAGGUAGGAAUUCUAGGUGUAGCGGUGAAAUGCGUAGAUAUCUGGAGGAAGUACCUGUGGCGAAAGCGGCCGUCCUAAACGAAUACUGACACUGAGGUGCGAAAGCGUGGGGAGGCAAACAGGGAUUAGAUACC
RNAcentral lists this ribosomal RNA (460 nucleotides) under uncultured bacterium. RNAcentral describes it as "bacterial SSU rRNA". It matches the Rfam family "Bacterial small subunit ribosomal RNA", at positions 340 to 786 of the family's 1533-position model. The record is from RNAcentral.